This is a non-coding RNA of Pelobates cultripes (western spadefoot toad), 211 nucleotides long. The record is from the annotation of a GenBank genome assembly. Lineage: Eukaryota; Metazoa; Chordata; Amphibia; Anura; Pelobatidae.
AUUUUAUUUGAUGUUAGGGAGAAACUCACAUCAUGUGAGUGUAGCAGCUAUUAUUUCAACAAAUUUGUUCACUUCUAUGUAAGUGCCUUAUUUGCACAAAGCACUUUAACAAAUAACUGUAUUUUUAUGGUUAUGAUCAAUUUGUAGAAACUAAAGUAUUUUAGAGACUUAAAUUGUGAUCCUUCAUCAGUUUUACUCAGGAUUGUAUUCC